RNAcentral lists this long non-coding RNA (492 nucleotides) under Setaria viridis. RNAcentral's name for it is "long non-coding RNA (SVIR_LNC007648)". Lineage: Eukaryota; Viridiplantae; Streptophyta; Magnoliopsida; Poales; Poaceae. The record is from RNAcentral.
GGAAAGGAGAAAUCAGGAUAGCCCUGGAAUCACAUCGUUGUGGAACACUUUGGUAAUAAAGAUUUUGGGAAGGGUUAGGAGUGUAAUCUCACUUUGAAAGCGACAUCUUGGGUAAGGGUCAAGUUACUGUCUUGUACGGGAUAUGCCUGGGAUGUAGUUGUUGGGUAUGGGUAUAACGGGUAUACAAAAAUGUAACUUUAUAGCACUAUAAAGGGAGGUGAACCGUCCCCUCUUAAACGGACACUAUUCAUUGAUAGGACAGCCACGGUUACAUUCGCUUGAGGUAUCUUUGCCUUCGUGUUGCUACUUCGUCUUACCUACUAUUUGGUUAAGGCCCAACACUUGACAAACACUUCACAUCUCCAAAUCUUUAGAAAAGACAAACUGGGAGUCUUUCCAGUCCACAUCUCAUAUGGUGUCUUAACUACAGAUUUAGACGAUACCCUAUUUAGUGUGAAAGCUGUUGUUUCUAGAGCGUAUCCCAAAAGUGAU